This 409-nucleotide ribosomal RNA is filed under the name uncultured bacterium. RNAcentral's name for it is "bacterial SSU rRNA". It matches the Rfam family "Bacterial small subunit ribosomal RNA", at positions 509 to 916 of the family's 1533-position model. The record is from RNAcentral.
CAGCAGCCGCGGUAAUACGUAGGGGGCAAGCGUUGUCCGGAAUCAUUGGGCGUAAAGCGCGUGUAGGCGGCCAUCCAAGUCCGAUGUGAAAGCUCGGGGCUCAACCCCGAGUCUGCAUUGGAAACUGGCUGGCUUGAGUCCGGAAGAGGAGACUGGAAUUCCUGGUGUAGCGGUGAAAUGCGCAGAUAUCAGGAAGAGCACCGGUGGCGAAGGCGGGUCUCUGGGACGGUACUGACGCUGAGACGCGAAAGCGUGGGGAGCAAACAGGAUUAGAUACCCUGGUAGUCCACGCCGUAAACGAUGGGCACUAGGUGUGGGAGGUGUCGACUCCUUCCGUGCCGAAGCUAACGCAUUAAGUGCCCCGCCUGGGGAGUACGGCCGCAAGGCUAAAACUCAAAGGAAUUGACGG